GAUGAACGCUGGCGGCGUGCCUAAUACAUGCAAGUCGAGCGAACGGACGAGAAGCUUGCUUCUCUGAUGUUAGCGGCGGACGGGUGAGUAACACGUGGAUAACCUCCCUAUAAGACUGGGAUAACUUCGGGAAACCGUCGCUAAUACCGGAUAAUAUUUUGAACCGCAUGGUUCAAAAGUGAAAGACGGUCUUGCUGUCACUUAUAGAUGGAUCCGCGCUGCAUUAGCUAGUUGGUAAGGUAACGGCUUACCAAGGCAACGAUGCAUAGCCGACCUGAGAGGGUGAUCGGCCACACUGGAACUGAGACACGGUCCAGACUCCUACGGGAGGCAGCAGUAGGGAAUCGGCCGCAAUGGGCGAAAGCCUGACGGAGCAACGCCGCGUGAGUGAUGAAGGUCUUCGGAGCGUAAAACUCUGUUAUUAGGGAAGAACAUAUGUGUAAGUAACUGUGCACAUCUUGACGGUACCUAAUCAGAAAGCCACGGCUAACUACGUG
RNAcentral lists this ribosomal RNA (497 nucleotides) under uncultured bacterium. RNAcentral describes it as "partial 16S ribosomal RNA". It matches the Rfam family "Bacterial small subunit ribosomal RNA", at positions 28 to 507 of the family's 1533-position model. The record is from RNAcentral.